AUGAACGCUGGCGGCGUGCCUAAUCCAUGCAAGUCGAGCGAACAGAUGAGGAGCUUGCUCCUCUGACGUUAGCGGCGGACGGGUGAGUAACACGUGGAUAACCUACCUAUAAGACUGGGAUAACUUCGGGAAACCGGAGCUAAUACCGGAUAAUAUAUUGAACCGCAUGGUUCAAUAGUGAAAGGCGGUUUUGCUGUCACUUAUAGAUGGAUCCGCGCCGCAUUAGCUAGUUGGUAAGGUAACGGCUUACCAAGGCAACGAUGCGUAGCCGACCUGAGAGGGUGAUCGGCCACACUGGAACUGAGACACGGUCCAGACUCCUACGGGAGGCAGCAGUAGGGAAUCUUCCGCAAUGGGCGAAAGCCUGACGGAGCAACGCCGCGUGAGUGAUGAAGGUCUUCGGAUCGUAAAACUCUGUUAUUAGGGAAGAACAAAUGUGUAAGUAACUAUGCACGUCUUGACGGUACCUAAUCAGAAAGCCACGGCUAACUACGUG
This 496-nucleotide ribosomal RNA is filed under the name uncultured bacterium. Its description in RNAcentral is "partial 16S ribosomal RNA". It matches the Rfam family "Bacterial small subunit ribosomal RNA", at positions 29 to 507 of the family's 1533-position model. The record is from RNAcentral.